Molecule: long non-coding RNA, 3430 nt
Filed under: Felis catus (domestic cat)
Lineage: Eukaryota; Metazoa; Chordata; Mammalia; Carnivora; Felidae
Description: lncRNA (ENSFCAG00000046939.1)
Source: RNAcentral
AUGUAUCUGGUGUGUUGGCCGGGGGGGGGGGGGGGGGGGACCCUAGUGACUCAGUCAGUUGAGAGUCUGACUUCAGCUCAGGUCAUUGCCUCUCGGUUGGUGAGUUCGAGCCCCACGUCGGGCUCUGUGCUGUCAGCACACAGUCUGCUUCGGAUCUUCUGUCCCUCUCUCUCUCUCUCUCUCCCUCUCUCUCUGCCUCUCUCUCUUCCUCUCAACAUAAAUAAAUAUUUAAAAAGAAAGAAAGAAAAAAAGGAAGAGGGAAAUCUGCCCUCCAUUAAUUUUUCUCCACUCAUUCAACAGUCAACGAUCUCUUGCUGUGGGUCAGCACUGGGGACAGAAAGAGCCCAGAACUGGGGGUUAACCAAGUUGGUGCUAACCCCACCCCGAGAUCCGGGCAAGACACCCAACCUCGCAGAGCUUCAUUUAAUCCUCACGAAGGUCGUCCCAUGAGAUAGGAAAUGUCGGGGCUCCAUUUUUCAGGUGAGGGAGUGGAGGCACAGAGAGGCUGAGUGACUGCCCCAAGGUCACACAGCUAGUAAGUGGCAGAGCCAGGAUUCCUCCCUAGGGGUCGACUCCCCGAGAUCCUAAGUUCUCAGCCACUUCCUUAAAAGUUCUGGAGACUGAGCCUACCGAGGAAAGCUCCAGAAUUUAGGAUUCGCUCCCGGUAAAUGGUAUGAAUUUAUUCCAUAAUACUUGUGAGAAAGAUCUCAUGACUUUACUUUUCUAAGGCUGAUGACAUUGGGAUCUGACCCUCCCUGGCUGCCUCCCUAGAGAACCCCCUACAAGUCUCUUGCAGACAGCCAGUCUCCACCCCCUAUGAUUCUGGGUAUAGACAGCACCUCUAACCAUUGCUGCCCAAACUCCCCUUCUUCCUAGCCCCACCCCAGGCUCCCAGGGCUGAGUUGUGCGCGUGACCAAGGCUGGCCAUGGCGAUGGCUUCAGUAAUGGGCACGUGACCCAAGCUGAGCCAAUGAGACUCAACCUCCAGACUCUGACUAGAAGUUUUGAAGGGGACAUCUCAAUGAGGCCAGUGAGCUAAAAGCCUGGGGCUGUGAGGCAGCAUCCCGGCCAGGCCAGCACGUGGAGAAAGCCCACGAGCGAAUGAAGGAAAGCGGGGCCAAGAAAGGGAGACAGAUCCCUGGCGACACUGCCUGAGCCCCUGGAUUCAGCCAUGCCUGAAGCUGUUGCACUCCCAACUUGCCAGUGACACAAAACAUAAGCUAAUUUCAGUGGGAUUCCAUUAUUUGCAGCUGGAUGAGUCCUGACUCAGGUACUAGGCUUUGUACGAAGGUACCAAGGCCUGCUGACUCUAGCCCAAGGCAAACACAGCCCUUCAGAACACAGAGACCCAGUUGUUCUUUGAAGGAGAUGCGGAGGGAGGGGAAAAUACCUCUCAUUCUUCCGUGAUGAAUCAACAGCCAAACAAAGACUGGGCCCGUUUCUCAAGCAGGUUACUCUGCCUAACAACGAUUAAUCAUCCGGGCCCAGCCAGCCCUGAGGUUGCUGUGGCCCCAAAGAACCUGCUACCCUCAGAGCCGCCCCAGAUUUUCCACGUCCGUGUGAAAAGAAUGUCUGUGCCAUUGGUCCUUUCUCCUCCAGCUCAGAAUCCUGGGAGCUGGGUUUUCUAAAACUCCAAGAAAACACUAUGUAGAAUGUCCAGCCAACAAAUGCUUGUGAUGCACCCGGUGGGGGGGCCUCUGGAACUCACAUCUCUUUGGAGAGGGUCCCAAGAAGCUGGUCCUGCCCCUUCUUACUGAGUGGUGGGCUAGCCCAGGACCUCAGAAGCCAGGGGGGUGGGGGUGGGGGUCAGCAGGGGACAGAGGAGGAAUGGUAUCGAAGGCUGAGCCAUGGAAAUGAGACUCUUCCUGGAAGGACGGAGACCAUGUGGGAAGAUUCUAGGCUGGGGAAAUGAGACAUGAUCUCAUCUAGGCUAGGUCCCCUAGAAACAGAGCCCGAGAUGGGGGUUUAGGUGCAUGUGGCUUUUGCAGGGGGAGGUUCUCAGGAGGAGGGGGCUGUCUUUCCCUUUGGGCUGCAGAGGGGGGUAAGGGGGUAAGGGAGGCGGCUGAGCGGCUGGAGCCUCUGCCUCCAGCAGCCGGCCCAGGGCAGCCUGGUGCGCUUCCUUCCUCCUCGGAACCCCAUGCCUGCUUUCAGGGAAGGGACUCAUCCAGUGGCCGCAGCUGGGCUGGGAGGGAUUCACCAGGGACAGUGUGGCACCGUGGUUGGGCACCCAGAGCCCAACGUGUGGGAGGUGCCCCCAAAGUGUUGGCUGUGCGCACAUCUCUGAGUAUUCCGGGCCUGGGGGGUCUGUGGUGCAAGGUUUGGAAUCAGUCAGCAGGGGUGUGUGUGUGUGUGCGCGUGUGUGUGCAUAGCAUCUUCCUGGGCCCUUCCCAGCGCCUGCAGACACUGACCUUCCUUAUGUGCCAGACGUUACCAGAGCCCCAGUCUUUGGGGUGUCUGAAACCUGUCUGUGUUGGGAACCCCGGCUCCCCACUUCCCCUCCCACCGUUGGUCCCUCCGGAUGGAAAAGCAUCGGCAUGAGAAUCAGGUCUGGACCAUAAAGCUGGGGGGUACUGGCAGAGGAGGAACUCAGGAAGAGACACAGGAAGUCUGGCCUUGGCCUUGAACCGGAAUUGCUUCAGUGAUCCUUAAGGCCCCCAGGACAAGCCCAGACCCUCACAGGCCAGGCUUCUAGGGGAGACCUCUUGGGCCUCAUCGCUCACCACCACCCACCUCCUGGCUGCUUGGAAUACUGAGGAGUCACUACUUUUCCACACGCUCCUGCCCCUGGGCCUUUGCACCUGCUGGGCUCGCUGCCUAGAAUGCCUUCCCCUGCCUACUCCUGGCCUAUUUGUCCUCUGCUCUGGCCUCGGGCCUCCCCUGACUCCAGAAGGCCUUUCCUGACUUAGCUCUCCUUCCUGUCCCCCACCCACCUCCCCAUCUUGUGCUGUCGCUGUCCCUGUUCACUUGCCUCCCCAACAAGACUGAAUGCCCUGAGGGAUAGCCCUCGGGCUUGACUGCCUCGGGUCCGCGGUGCAGACAGACACAAGGCACAUAGAUGCUCAGGACGUAGGUGUGGCGUGAAUGAACGAAGCUGGUAAGUGGGGUGGGCGGCCAGUCAUACUAUCCUCCAGGCCGAUGUUGCCCAUGGUUUGUGAUGGCCAAAUCGUUCCAAGAUACGUUUAUCUGUAACGUACACCCUCCCCAUCAAAUUACAAUUUCCUAUUGCCUCUGAUGAGUGGGCGACAGGUAGCGCCUGUGAGCAGCAGUCCCCUGCGAUCCGUGCCGCCCUCGACAGAUCCGGCUCAGCUCGGCAAGGUCUGAGCAGUUUCGUUAUUACCGUCCCUGGUUUUACACUUGUGGAAACUGAGGCUUAACGUGGUGAAAGAGACUGGGAGCAGAUCUGCAGAAAAUAAAUAACCAGGCUGCAGCA